ACACCAUCUAAAAUACAUACAUAUAACAGGGGGAGGGAGAGAGAGAGAGGUGGAGGUUGCAAAUUGUUGAAGAGGAAAACCUGAGGAGUAGCAGGAGAGAGAAAAAGAGAAUGAAGGGUCACUGGCUAGACACUUGACUGUUGAGCAGCUAGGUCAAGUUUCUUUCUUCCCUCUCCAUCAACAAUCCUCCGAAUCGCAAGUUCCAUCGUCUUCACCCUUCAGUAUUGACAUCGAUUCGAUUGCAGAUGACAAAGAUUUCAUUCUCAGUCAAGAUUUCUUUUGUAGUCCUGACUAUAUCACUCCGGAUGGUCAAUAUAUCUCCAAUUUGGGAUUGCGACAAGGUGGAAAUACAGGUCUUGUAGGGGGAAGUGUGCCUGUUUUCGAUGAGGUUUACAAGGCUGCUGCUGCAGAAGGUGCUACAUUUUUAAAUGAAUGGUUUGUUGGUUGCAACGCAAGCCAUGUAGUGUGUGAAGGGACUUCUAUACAAAAAUAUAUUGGCCACUCUAGUAAUCUUGUUACAGUAAGUGCUAUUCUUCUGCAUUUGCAUUUUCUUAUGAAUGAGUACUGUGUAUUUGAAUUUUGGAGAACAAACGGAGUUGGACCCAUUGAAGAUAAUUUUGAUGUUUGGACCGGUACUGUUGUCACUUAUCCCACAUUAUGAAAUUUGGCUGAUAUUUCAAUGUUUUUUUUCGGUCUUCAAACACUUUUUAAAUGAUAUAUGAUGUCCCUCAGCCACUGUGGGUUCUGAAAACUGCAAAAGAAAAACGUAUGCAGAGGUUUGUUCAUAUGUCCACUAAUAUGGCUCCGCAGGUUGGGAUAAUGCUUGACAAUGCCCAAAAUGGAAUUUAUGGAGAGGUAUCCUCUAUCCUUCCUUACUUUUUGCCCCUUUUUUUUUUCUUCUUUUUUUUUUUUUUAUAUAUAGAUGCAAUGUGUUUUGAUUCACUUGCAAUUGUGAGGAUGCAUUCUUCUAAAUCUAGGGAGGUUGUGUUUGAUUUGUGGUUGAAUUAGUUUGUUACUAUGUCAGAAAACAAGGCAUCAAUAUUUUUGGUUUCUUUUUCUUUGAACCACAAGAUACUAUGUCUAAUGCUUCCAAAGUUCUAAUAGUGUCAUGCACUCCAUAUAUUUUGAAAAAUAAAAUGGAAGAGAAGUUUUAUUGUUUAAAGUUGGCCAACGUAACUCAAAGCAUGAAAUACAACUAUAUGUCGUUUCUCAAUUUGUAAUUGCCCCAGGUAGGACUGAAAACAUUCCAGCUUCCUGUUUUUUGGCACACUUAUCUGGUGCUCAGCGAUAUAUUUCCUGUAGCAAUUUUGUUUUCAAAUUUAUAUUUUGGAUUGAGCGAACCGUACAAUGUAUUUAUCAAAUAUGCCUUGGGAUGAUUCUGCCGCAAUGAGAAAUGUCCCUCAAGCCCCUCAAUCUGUAACUACUCCAGUGAACUCUACAAUCUAUGUAUCACAUAUGCCUUUGGGAUGAUUCUACUACGGUGAGAAAUAUCCCUCAACCACCUCAAUUUGUGACUGCUCUAGAGUGAAGUCCGAAAAUCUGAAGAUUGAAGCUUGAACUCCGAAAAUCACAAAUCUCCACUUUCCAGCCGGAGCACUUCCUUCGCACUACACACGAGAUGAGACUAAAGAAGCUGAAUCACUUUUUGAUUAUCUAAAUGCAAUUAUUAUAGUUGAAGGUAGAUUUCCUAAGAGCAUCUCCAACGGUUCAGUAUUUUUUUCAUCAAAUUUGAGUAAAAAAUGGCUCAUUUUCUCAAUUUUAUAUCAGUUGUUCCAACUGUGCAUCAAAAUCCGUGGGUCAACCGGUUGGUCGACCGGUAAGGCUAAAUAUUUUUUUUUUAAAACCUUUUUGAGCUGUUUGAACCCACCUAUGUGAACUGGGGGAGGGGCGACCGGUUGGUCGACCAAG
Molecule: non-coding RNA, 1908 nt
Organism: Camellia sinensis
Lineage: Eukaryota; Viridiplantae; Streptophyta; Magnoliopsida; Ericales; Theaceae
Source: RefSeq, a predicted model, not a curated record